Long non-coding RNA from Hemicordylus capensis (graceful crag lizard), 6847 nucleotides. RefSeq lists it as uncharacterized. The transcript has 3 exons. Lineage: Eukaryota; Metazoa; Chordata; Lepidosauria; Squamata; Cordylidae. The record is from RefSeq and is a predicted model, not a curated record.
AUCCCUUAAAAAGACAAUGUUGGUUUAAUACCUUGAAAGCUGGCAAAACUGAAGGGUGGGGAGGUGGGGAGAGGCAACGAAUCAAAUAGAAAUAUUCACUCGCAUGCUGUUCUCUAUACAGAGCUCUAACUUGUAUGGUGCUUUAAAAAAAAAAAAAGCUGUUGUAAGAAUUCACACCCAGAAAUGUUGCAUUUGCAAUUUAUUGCCAUCCCUGUGUUGUGCAGUCUUACCAUACUGAGAAAUUGCUUGUCUUUUGAAAUAAGUGGUUAACCUGCUGCAAAUUAUUUCCUUCAAUUUAGCUGAGUUGUACUCGGGUUUUUAUUGCCUGUGCGCAUCCCAAGUAGAUUUGCUCAAGUUUCCUUGCCUUCUAAAAAAGUUAUAUUUUAGAAUGUCUUUUUAAAAAAAUCAAUGCAACUUCCUUUUUACUUUGAACACCAUUGUUUUUAAAAGACACAUUGAAUAGUCAUACUGUGAUCUAAUUGACUAGUGCACUUGAUAAACUAGACAUAAAGUUUACUGUUCAGUCUGUCUUUGGCCUGCCUCUGUAUUGAACAAGGGCAGUGUAACUUAUCCAAGGCACCAUAUUUGUGUUCCUUCUUGGUUCAUUUAUGGCAGAACUCACUUUUGAAAGGAUUGUAAUGCUAUGAAGGUGGCUGGUGUCCUCCAUUCAAUACACACUAUCACAGGCCAUAUGCUCUUACUACCUUAGUAUCUGUGACAGAUAGGAAAUGGAAUAUGUGUGCAAUAGAAUUGGCGUUUUUGUUUUGUUUUUCCCUUUAGAUCCAGGAACUCGCGGGGAUGGGGCAGGGGCAACAUUUUACCAAACCUUUGCAGUGUGGCAGAGACAGAAAAUUGGUAGAUUCUUGUUAUAAAAUCUUUCUCUCUCACACACAUACACACCAUUUUUCUGAUUUGAAUAUCACACUGUUUUGCUGUUCUGUGGCUAGUUGCAACUUCCACCUUCUUCCUGAUCAGGCUGCUGGAUCCAAGCCUAUUGUAAGCUGCUGGAUAAUUUCAGAUUGUUUGGGGACCCUACGAUUUCCCAUUGCAGCCAUCUCCCUUUAAGGCAAAAGCCGUUUGGACAGAAAAAAACCCAUCCCUGAAUUUCUUGGAGGCAGCAACCUGUAGUGAGGGGUGUGCUGAGGUGGCAGAGCAUUUGCUAAAGAGAGCUUUCACUGCUUAGCUCUAUGGAGGCAUGCCCAGCAUAUGGAUGUGCUGUGUUUCCUUGAGAAGGCGACUGGCAAAUAUGUGCCACAUGUGUGAUUGUAUGUGUGUAUGCAUGUGUGUGUUGCUUACAACCUGUUUCUCCUGAAAGUGUCUGAACUUGUAUUUUUGAGCUGAUAUUAUGGUAAGGUUAUCUGAAAUAUGGGUGUCAAAUGUUUGGACAGGGGUGCAAUUUCAGUGCAUGCCCUAGGCGCUAUUUUCCCUAGAUACGCCCCUGCACUGCGGUCACCAUUAGCGCCAAGGUCUGUGGAUGAGUGACAGUGCCAGGGCGGGAUUGCAGCUAUAUCUCAACUCACUUUCUGAGGGCCAACUUUCUUGUUCAACCACCUGGGAAAACAGGAUCACAAAUAAUCAAGUACCUCCACCUUACAGAAGCUGGUCUUCAAAAUGGAAUCAAUCUACUUCCCUGUGUCUCUUUCCGUAGGUAGGUUUAAUGUAAGAAAUUGCUAGCCUUUCUAGUAAUAUGCUUUCACUCAAGACUAAGGACUUUAUCAUUAAACAAAACAACUCUUAAAAGCUAGAGAGCAAAGACGGUAGCAAGCCUGGCAGUCCAGGAAGCAUUCCACCUUAAUGUUUGGCUGUGCUUCAGCUUCAUUUCACGAAUGCUGACAUCAUCUGCUGCUACUUUGAUGGAUGGGAAACUGGGGCAGCAGCAUGAACAGGACCUUGGGAAAUGAACCCUGAUUUGGGGGCUUAAAGAUAAAUGCAGUGAGGUCGUUCCACACUGUAUCUGUGCUGCACCUAAUGGCAGAGAGAGACUGCAAGGCGCGCUUUAAUGUUGCAUACUCUUGUCUCUGCCAGCUGCUGAAUAUUUUAUCAAUCUUGGGCGAAAACCUUCAACUCAGCUCCUUUAAGGCUAGCAAUUCAGCUGUUUGGGAUCAUCUGCCGGCUUGAAAAUGUGCGGGCAGUCACACAGAUGCAAGGAGAAUAAAGGCGUUCUGUCAGCUUGCUUGCUUGCUCUUAGAAUAGGAAUGGCACAGAAACCAGGAAAGGGUGGACCACCACACACAAAAUGUAAUCGUUUGGCCACUGCCCAGAAGCAUCAGCUGCUAGCUGGCAAACCAGAUAUGCUUUUCACCUGUUUUUGCAGCUGUCAUCAUUUGACUGAAAGUAAGAGCAAUGAUCUAACUGGCUGUUGCACAUUGCCCCUGGCUUCUGGUGAAUGUUCAUCAUUGCUCAGUCUCUUUGUCCAAAGCACAUAUGGGAAGGGAAGGUCCAUGUUGACCCAGAUGUAUUUGCUAGUCAAUUGACCAAAUAAAGACUGACCCAGAUAGGUGACAAGGUGGAGAAGAUGUUUCCUGUCUCACCUUAGUGACCAAGGGUCAUUUUCUACACGGACAGAGGCCAUAACCCGCACAAGAGUCUAUACUCCUGCAGUGUGUGUCUGGAAGCUGCAACAUAUAUAUCCACAGCAUGUGAAAUACAAUAUUUUCAUACAUGGCCACAUCCACAUGUUCUUCCACAGAAGUGUAGGGAAACUCUCAUGUCAAGUGGCCCUCACACUCAAAGCAGUAGCUCAAGCCUCUAUUGCCUGUAACCAUCUGUACUCACUAUCUCUCCUAUCCAUCUAAACCUACACUUGAAAAUGGGGCUGAUGUACUGUAGGGACACUGGGUAUGUGUGGGCUGUAAACAAAGAUGUACCCAGGAGCUUUCCCAGACAGCAGGCUUUACUGCAGGUUUACUGCGAGUUCAAAGUUGCCAAAAAACACAGCCACCCCCAACCCACGAAUAUGUGGGAUGAACCCCUUAUCUUCCAGUUUUUCCCAUGUAUGCCGAGGUUGGGUGUUAAUUAUCCAACCGUGGAUAUGUGAAACCGCGGAUGUUUGGUCUGCAGAUAGGGAGAUCAACCUGUAUUUUAUGCUUGAUAAUACACCUAUAGUGAGAAAAAAUUGAAAGGUAAAGCAGAGCUGCUUUUACUUACUAAUUUACCAUACAUGGCUGUUAACUAAUCAUCUGCUAAUUAGGCAAAGAGGAACCUUCCAAAGGAGUGAUUCUCUUAUAUUUAAGGAGGAGAACAACUGGCCCUGUUCAACCCCAACACAGCAUCCCUGCAAUGACUGGUGCUGAUGUCUGUCUUGUGUAGUGGUGGUGGUUGCCUUUCAUCUCAGAUAAAUUAAGCAGGCGCUUAUAUGGUGGCUUUGCAUGUCUCAUGACGGCUAAUACAUUUCCCUCUGCAUUGUGAUCCCUGCUGCCCCAUAAAAAGGCUGCAUGUCCAAAGCAAAAUAUCAUGUGCCUGAGGCUGUUAUAACAGUAGUGCACCUCAGUAGAAAAUAGAACAUAGAAUGGUUACAAAUCUUUACCCAAAAGUUGCAUAAUGGGCAGAAAUAGCAGAUAAUGCUUUUCUCACCAUGGAGAGGGGGAAGAAUAGCAUAUGCUGAUGGCUUUUAACCAGCUCUUCAAAUUUCAAAACCAGUUAUGUGCCUUUCUUCUAGGAAGAGAGUCCCCUUCCACAAAAAUGCUGGCAACCCUAUGAAGAAGAGCUGUUCCCUUAUUAGGAGGUGCUCACAUACACGUCUGUUGCACGCCACUGGUUUUGAAUUAUUUAGUUAUGAGUAAUUAUUUAGUUAUAGGAUAGUUCCUAAGCAAAGUCCUUACUGACUGGCUUUAUUCUAGCAGGUAAGGAUUCCAGCCAGACCUAUACUUGGGCAUGUAAUACAGUUCCCCAGCUUGGACUCUAGCCAUGUUUUAAGUAUUAACACUCGGCUUGAAAAGUGCUUGAGGGAAUUAUUUAUGAGCACCAGUUGUCAAUGACUCUCUUUAAAAACGGGGCUGAUCGAAAGCACCUCCUGUGGCACUUUGGCCCAUGAAGCAUGCCGAGGAGUAGCUGUGCUAUUUCGCUUGCUCCUGACACCAGGACUCUCCUUUCCCCCCACAGCAGGUAAAGAUUAUUAAUGGACACAUGAACUGCCUUGUAUGGAGGAGGCUACAGUCUUUCUAUUGCUCCAUCUAGCCCAAUGGAACUACUUUCCAUUGUUGGCAAUUCAGCACUAUAUUAGGCAGGGAUCUUUUAAAACUCUGCUACCCGAGUACCUUCCUCUGCAACCACUUCCUAGGCAUACAAAAGUGGGACUCAUCUGUUGACAUAUGACCCUUCUAUCUAUGGGUGCUGGGGAAUGGGACCAGAAUAGGUGCAGAAGAGAAAUGGUUGUGUUCUCCUUUGCACCAACAGGAAAUGAGGGUUCUCUAGAUUGUGACAUGGCAAGAAUCCUAUUUAAACUAGUGCUGAUCUAGCACUAAUCAUAUUUAAACUGGUGUUGAUCCUAGUAGCUGGCAAUCCCAGCCCCCAUAGAAUGCCCAAGGAAUCAUGUGGGGGGCCAUCUUUCUCUCUCUCCCACAAGCACUGUCAGAAUGGUGCUAUGGCAUGAUGUAGUAUAAUUCCCAGGGCAUUGCAGAGGGGGAAAUAAAAUAAUUUGGUUUGUUCCAGUUCAGAGCCAUUUUAGAUUCUGUUGUCCCCUCCGAUGACAUUUGGAGUGGGCCAGAUUCUAGUCCUUGUCUCCCGACAGCCCCCAGUGAGCCUUGAACCCCCUCAAUAGACUUCAGAUCCCAAAGGACAUUGUGUCUUUACUCUGAUCUGUAGCUUCUCAGAGUGACAACAAAAGAGAGAAGGGCUGGAAGGGGAAAAGCCUUUCAUCCCCCAUCAGCAGUUCUGCUGCCCUUCACCUCGCGGGGCACUGUAGCAUGCCACAACAAUUGGGGGAGGGGAAUAAAAGGGGGGAAACCUCCCUUCUCCCCACACAAAUGACUCUGCUGCUGCUGUUCUUCCUGCUGCCACCAAGACAGGUAUGUUAGAGGUUGUUGACUUUUACCCACAAUAGGUAAAAGAGCAGAGCACUAAGGAAUGAGCACACACUCCAGUUACAGAGUAGGUAGCAGAGGAUGGUUUGGAUAUUGCAGCUAUUUAGAGAAAACACAUGGAGAUCCUUGUAUGACUAAACACUAAAUAUUUAUUGGUUGAAUACACUUAGAUAGGAAAGACCUAUCUCUGAUCUAAAGGACUACAUAGUGGAUAGGUAAGGAGAGAGAGAGAGAUGUUUCCAUCUGCUCUCUAGGAGGAAAGGAAGGAUUGUGACUCAGCACAGGAAGUGCUGCAGAGUCAGUUCAGGGGUCAUAGAGUAGGGACAGAUAGGGAGACCCUGACUCACUGUCUCUACUCCCAAUGCUCCUAGUGGUCAUUAGGACAGUUGGUGCAAAAGGUCGAUGCACUGGAAGUUCAUCUCCAACAAGGUAAGGAGAGGCCCCUGAGUUGCCAGAGUUCUUCCCAGUUUGGAGGAGGAAAGCACUUGGAUAAUUUCCGAGCGAAUCCAAAGCAAGCUCUCAGCUGGGCGCUUUCCAGAUUACUUGCUGUUCAGCAGUAAAAUGCUUCCGCUUGGCAGGAUCUUUUUGAAAAUGUGAAUCGCUUGCGCAGCCCUACAAAAGGAAAAUACAGCUAUUUUUUUUCACACACAUGCAACAUUGUAGAGCUAAAACACAAGGAUAAAAUCCAAAAGAAGGCCUCGGAAAUGUGAACGGCACCUUGCUGACAGCACAGGGACUAUGAUGUUGAAACACAGGCCGUAUGGAAGCACACUUAAGGACACGUAGUGACACUCUGGCUGCUCGCCGCCCAAUUGGGUGGUGCAGCCCAUUUGCCCCAGCCCCCUGACAAGAAGCACGAGGCUGGGAGUGAAGCCUAUUGGCUGUCGGGGCCGUGCGGGGGUGGGGCUUCAGCCACGCAGCCAGCUUGGGUGUCCGAUCUCCUUAAUCUGCUCUUCUCAGUCUGUCCUUCGCAGGACAGAUCUCCUCAGUCUGCUCUCCCUCCCUUCCCUGGGUACAGUCUGGGCUUAUCUGGUCGCCUAUUGGGGCUGGGCAGGAAUUUGGGGGGCACUCACCUGAUUGGCCGGUGGUGCCCGUCCUUUUUCACCUGCCUCUGUCUGUACUGAGUUAGUCAGUUAGUUGAGAUCACCUUUCCCGGUCACAAUUCUGGCAGGUACAGUGUGGCUGGGGAGAACAUCUGAAUUUGGAGAGCACCUUCAAGACAGAGCAUAGGUGCUGUUAGUAAUUCUGAUCACCACAGGGGACAGUUUGAAAAGGCAGGGAUCACGAUGAACAGGAGGAGGUGGAGAAGGAACAGCUGCCAUUAUCACCACCAGAUAGCAUCAAGAAGGCCAGCUGAGGCAGCUGGCAGAAGUGGACACAGGGAGGCCACUACUUUCACCAUUCCGUCCCCUGAGUCAGCUGCUUCCCCUUCCCUCGUUAGCAGUUCUCAUUACCAGGCAUUUCUGGUUUUAAGCACACAUCUUAAAAAUGCUGUUAGACAAUUGCAUAGUUUGCCCAAGUGGAUUGUUCAAAAUAAUGUAUUUAAAAAUUGCAGUCUUCUAGCCUAUUAUGUCUACUUCUACUAAUAUUGCUGUUUCCUAUCUGAAGAGUCACAGAUCUUACUUUACUACACUCACAGAGCAAUCCUGGGCACAGUUACUCAGAAGUAAAUCCCAGUAUAGGCUGUUUCAGACAUAGGGUCUACCAACCCUGCCCACCAUGGGGCUUAUUCCUAGUUAAGUAUGAUAGGAUUUCAGCCUCAGUUACAACCUUUCUUUGCAUAUUCCCAGAUCUUUUCUUCUCACUUACCAACCCUAAUCCCAAAA